GCCCUCUGGAUUCAUUACCUAUCAGAUAUAAACAUUGGUGGCUAUAAAAGGAGGAAGAGUAAAACGGAAACAGACUUGGAUUCUUUUGUGACAUAAAAAA
Molecule: small nucleolar RNA, 100 nt
Filed under: Echinops telfairi (small Madagascar hedgehog)
Lineage: Eukaryota; Metazoa; Chordata; Mammalia; Afrosoricida; Tenrecidae
Description: Small nucleolar RNA SNORA61 (ENSETEG00000025122.1)
Source: RNAcentral